RNA transcript from Ipomoea triloba (trilobed morning glory), 1162 nucleotides. It is a transcript of the gene named ras-related protein RABH1e-like, with no coding region annotated. The transcript has 7 exons. The record is from RefSeq and is a predicted model, not a curated record. Lineage: Eukaryota; Viridiplantae; Streptophyta; Magnoliopsida; Solanales; Convolvulaceae.
GCGUGGUUGGCGGUUUCAUCUUAGAGACGUAUAUAAAACGAUAAUUCAAAGGCAGCCUGCGCAUUUCUUUAUCCGUUCUUCGCUCCCUUCCUUCUCACUUCUCAGUGCUUCUCUCUCGUAUUCCACCGAUCCAGAUCUGAUCGCCCUCCAAGCGCUGAGAAGAAAAGUUAGGAAAGCAGAGAUUUUAACCGAAACACAACGCAAUGGCGGUGGAAUCGCCUCCGUCCAAGCACAAGCUGGUGAUACUCGGUGAUGAAUCGGUCGGAAAAACCAGCAUUACCACUCGCUUCAUCUGCCGCAAAUUCAAUACUACCUAUAAGGCUACAAUUGGAAUUGAUUUUUUUUCAAAGACGGUGUACCUUGAAGAUCGAACAGUUCGCUUCCAAUUCUGGGAUACUGCUGGUCAGAAGAGGUUUAAAAGUCUUAUCCCAUGUUACGUAAGAGAUUCUUCUGUUGCAGUGAUAGUAUAUGAUGUUGCAAACCGUCAAUCAUUUUUGAACACUUCAAAAUGGAUUGAGGAAGUACGCACUAACCGAGGAAAUGAUGUCAUUAUUGUUCUUGUUGGGAACAAAAUUGAUCUUAUUGAUAAAAGGCAAGUUUCAAUAGAAGAAGGUGAUGCCAAGGCUCGGGAGUUUGGUUUAAUGUUUAUAGAAACCAGUGCUAAAGAUGGAUUUAAUAUCGAGUUGUCCUUGUUUGCUUUUGAUGGUAAGGUGAGCAAAUAUUCAAUUAUCCCGGCUUAUUUUAUGACUAAGUGGGUAGUCAGUUGGCGAGCCAACAUAAUCGAAAAAAUCGAUUGGAAUGCUGCCAAAAAAAUAUUUUAUUGCCUUGUGUGCGAUAAGAGAGCUUAACCUUAUUCAGAGCACUAGCAACGUAUAUAUACAUGAAGAUUGAGCCUUUUGGAAGGCAAGAAACUGAUCUAAACUAGUUUCCUUUCAUGCUGGAAGAGGAACCAAUCCUUUAUGAAUAACAAGUCCAAUGUUGCGCCGACCUCUGCCCCGAGUCAACCUGGUCUCCAACUGAACGACUUCUCUCAACCAUUUGCCCAAUUGUCUCACUUGGUUCCAACUGAUCGACAAGCCAUUGGAGUCCAUCUCCGACCACAAUACCUUUUCUCAAGGCUAUUUUUCUUCUGUCUUAGUGGUACUAAUAUUGAUUUCUUUUC